UCCGUAGGGGGCAAGCGUUGUCCGGAUUUAUUGGGCGUAAAGGGCUCGUAGGCGGUCUGUUGCGUCGGGAGUGAAAACUCAGGGCUUAACCCUGAGCCUGCUUCCGAUACGGGCAGACUAGAGGUAUGCAGGGGAGAACGGAAUUCCUGGUGUAGCGGUGAAAUGCGCAGAUAUCAGGAGGAACACCGGUGGCGAAGGCGGUUCUCUGGGCAUUACCUGACGCUGAGGAGCGAAAGUGUGGGGAGCGAACAGG
This 253-nucleotide ribosomal RNA is filed under the name uncultured bacterium. Its description in RNAcentral is "partial 16S ribosomal RNA". It matches the Rfam family "Bacterial small subunit ribosomal RNA", at positions 524 to 776 of the family's 1533-position model. The record is from RNAcentral.